AGAAAACAGAGGGUUUAGGUUUAUUAGUCUUUCGAUUGAAAACAUAUGAUUUGGUUUUGGGAAUAUCGGUGAAGUUUUUCUGGUUUGAAGAAUUCAUUAUCUGAUUCUAAUUUAAGCUUUUCAAGUUUAUGCAAAAAGUUUUCGAAUUUCUCAAGAAUUAAGGUUUUUUUUUUCUCGUGGAAUGUUUGCUCAGUACUCACUACUCAGUAGCUAGGUCAGAGCGAACUUGUUUAUGCAAAAAAGUUUGCUAAUUUCUCAAGAAUUCAGCCUUUUUUUUCCUCGUGAGUUUUUUGCUCAGUAGCUUUAGCUUGAUAUGUGGAAUUGUUGCAGAGGUUAUGUGGUAUGAGAUUUUCAGCUAAUGGUAGGUUUUAAUUACUUGAGCUGAGCUAGAAUCAUAGAAUGUAGCAAAUUUGGAAUUUUUUGCUUUCCCUUGCAGAUACAUCUUUGUUUGUUUGACUCAACUCAAUAGAGAGACCUUGUGUAUAUACAAAAGGUAGCUUGACAUUAUAGUGUAGUCAAUCUUGUUGGCCUAAGAAACAAAUUCGACUAUACAUUGUAUCAAUCCCUGGCUUCAAGCACAGAAGAGGCACAACAACAAAAACGCUUAUGAGUUCUAUGGCUUCUUGUUCCCUUUUUCAGCUACCGAGCAUUUCUUCCUGUGUAACGUUGCUGCUGUUGUUGUCCUGUUAAAGCUUGGUUUUUUCUUGAUGCAGACUUUUCUACACGUGCUUUGCGGACAGCUUGUUGGAUCUGCUUCUCAUGCUCUUUAAGCAAAUCUUCAAGAUUUCCACCAGGAGGCAUCAAUGGUCCUGAGUAAUUGAUUCUGUUUUUCCUUGGUGCAUUGCCCUGAUGACACAGCCCAAAGCAACUUAAUAAUUACAUACCAAAAGGUUUAAGGUACACGAUAUAACAAGAGGAGAGACUUACGGUUGAGUAAUCUCUGUUGGGAUCUCUCCUAUAAGAUUCACCAGACAAGUCUCCUGUUUGAGAUGUCCUAGACUUCAUCUCUGCAUUAGUUUGUCUUUUGAUGCUUCCACCUCCGUUCCAUUCUGUAUCAGCCACUGUUGGGUGAACCAUUGAAGAAGCAUGAGCUUUACCAUUCUGCUGGAUCCCUCUUCUUGGUGGUUCUAUCCUAAACCCGGUGCCACCUUCCUCGUCUGUUUUGAAUUUGUGGCUUAUGCAUGUGACUUUGGACUGUCCUGCAGCCAUAAACUCUGGUGUCUGGGCUGUUUUAAGAUCCUUUGGCCGUCCUCUUGUCACAGUUUCUCCCCCUCUUCUCUUGUUACCUUCUGCCCUUAGUCUGCAAACAAAACUUUCAUCAGAAAACCCCCAAGAGAAAGACUAGUGAAUGAAGAUGUAUGUAGCUUUACUUUCUUGCUUCUUCGUUGCGAAGCUUGGCAUCAAGUUCCUUGCUUGGUGGAUAUCUAGGUAAGUUUGAUGGAUUCGCAGGGAGUGGCUCCGUGGUGAAGAACUGAAGAGAAGAAAGAUUGAAACUCAUCAUGAGAAAUGUAUCUAAUAACUUGUUUAAGAAACAUGGAUUUCUGGUUAGUAUCGAUCUAUUACUUCGCUCCUCAAGGUAGAAGCAGCCGAUCCCCGUUUUUCAGGUUCUAUUGCCAGUAGCUUAUUGAUGAGCAUCAGAGCUGAUGAAGGGAAAUGGUUAAAGGUUUCAGCAAGAACAGGCUUGUAAGGAUGACUGGGUUUAAAGCUUGUUGCUAGUGGCAGUGUUGCUCUUCUCCAGUAAUCUUCCGAGGGUGAACCACAGAGCUUAAAGAUCUUGUGCAUCUGCUCCACCUGAUAAACAAAAAAGGAUAAUUAUCUCAUCAGCUGUCUAUAAGAAGUAAGACUCUGAGUCUCAGAAUUUGAAUGAAUGCUGCGUCGAAUUAUAAAGCCUGAGCUCAAAAACUGUUCUUAACAAACUAAAGAGGUGUUAGAGAGUUCAUUACUUCUGUGCGUCCUGGCAUAAUAGGUUUUCCGGCGAAGAGCUCAGUGAGAAUGCAGCCGGCGCUCCACAGGUCAAUGGCUGGUCCAUACUCAGUGGCACCGAGCAACAGCUCAGGUGCUCUGUACCAUAAGGUCACAACACGACUGGUCAGCUGCAGAUCUCCAUCACCUCGGUAAAAAUUCGCCAAUCCGAAAUCACCAAUCUUCAAGACACCUUCAUUAUUGAUUAAGAGAUUUGAGCCUUUAAUAUCACGGUGAAGAAUUCCUCGUCUGUGGCAAUGUUCAAGCCCACGGAACAAUUGCUGCAUAUAGCACUUGAUCUGAAAACGAAGUAGGACUCUUUAUAAAACUUGAAUUCUCCAAUCUUUCAAGUGCAUAGGAAAACAGAAUAUGUAAUACCUGAGGUUCAGAGAAUUUGAUUCCAGGAGUUGCAGCUAGACCUGCGAGAUCGUGUUCCAUGUACUCAAAGACAAGGUAGAGGCUACCUGAGAGUCUAGAGGUAACUAGACCUUCUAGCUUCAUAACAUUGGGGUGAUCAAGCUUACGAAGAAUGAGAAUCUCCCUGGCCAUAAACCGAACACUCUCUGGAUCCAUGUUCACAAACCGAACUUUCUUCAUCGCCACAAUCUUCCCCGUUUCAAGGUCUCUAGCUUUGUACACGCUGCUCGAGGAACCCAUCCUUUAAUGGCCUCCCCAGCAACAGAAGCCAGCCAAGACGGCCAUUCUGCAGCAGGGAGUUCCGUUUUAUUGCUGAUCACACGUGCUGGCUGCUGCUGUGCCGGCUGUGCAACCGGUAUAGCGGUGACUCUUCUUGUUGGAUUUCUGGUCGGAGCUCCCACAACAACGACCGGUUUGGUGCUGUUUCGAUCAGAUGAAGUGGAAGGACGGCGUGCCACAGGAUAACCAUUAGCCACAAUGGUGAUAGAAGCUGAAGAAGUCGUACGUGUGAAAGAUCCUUCCUUCUUGGAUGAAGACGAAGACGACGGGGGAUGAUGAGGGAGAAGUUGAAGGAUGGAUUUGCUGGAAUCUAAUAGAUCUUUAUCGGUAACGGCGGCGCUUGGUGAACGGGCGGUGGCACAAAUACAACCCAUUACAAAACAAACCACCGCUCAAAACUCCUACUUAAUGGAAAAAACUUUAGUUUUUGCCGAUUUGCUUUUAUCUAUCUAUCUCUCAUUCUCUCUACUAUGUCUUAGGUGAUAUGGUCGGCGACCAAAAACUUUCAUUUUUUGUUGUCUCUCUCACGUUUUUGUGAGUUUGUUGUCAUAGAAAAGUGGAACGUGCGUACCACUCAAUGGUCUCUUUUUCUUCUAGAAUCAAGAUUUAAAAUUAAAACGAUGAGGAUGAUGAAGGAAUC
This 3298-nucleotide long non-coding RNA is filed under the name Arabidopsis thaliana (thale cress). RNAcentral describes it as "potential natural antisense gene, locus overlaps with AT1G71530 (AT1G71528)". The record is from RNAcentral. Lineage: Eukaryota; Viridiplantae; Streptophyta; Magnoliopsida; Brassicales; Brassicaceae.